RNAcentral lists this ribosomal RNA (279 nucleotides) under uncultured bacterium. Its description in RNAcentral is "partial 16S ribosomal RNA". It matches the Rfam family "Bacterial small subunit ribosomal RNA", at positions 506 to 784 of the family's 1533-position model. The record is from RNAcentral.
UGCCAGCCGCCGCGGUAAGACGAAGGUGGCAACCGUUGUUCGGAAUCACUGGGCAUAAAGCGCGCGUAGGCGGCGACACAAGUCGGAUGUGAAAUCCCUCGGCUCAACCGAGGAACUGCGUCCGAAACUAUGUUGCUUGAGGGCAGAAGGGGAGCAUGGAAUUCCCGGUGGAGCGGUGAAAUGCGUUGAUAUCGGGAGGAACACCGGCGGCGAAGGCGAUGCUCUGGUCUGUUUCUGACGCUGAGGUGCGAAAGCCAGGGGAGCAAACGGGAUUAGAUA